RNAcentral lists this long non-coding RNA (256 nucleotides) under Brassica rapa (field mustard). RNAcentral describes it as "long non-coding RNA (BRAP_LNC005449)". Lineage: Eukaryota; Viridiplantae; Streptophyta; Magnoliopsida; Brassicales; Brassicaceae. The record is from RNAcentral.
UGACACUAUUCUAUUCCUUAAUUCCUUAUCAACUAUCCAAGAGAGUUGUCCAUUUCAUGUGGUGACGAUGAACGUUGCGUUCCCUCCAUGUGCGAUAGAUAGUAGUCUGGAAUACCAUUUUGACUGACGUGUGAUCGCAGCAGCAGCGAUAGUGUCAGUUGCUAAUGUGGGGUUUGUGCUCGUUCCCAAUACUCUCGUAACUAGCCUUUUCCAGACAAUGUAAAAAUAGAGAGAAACGAAGAAAGGAUGAUCUCUU